UCACAAGGUUUAUACUGAAUGAACUCUAACCUUCUUGCCAUAGAGAGUGGCAUCAAGCUAACAGAGGCUCCGAGAUCGCACAGACAAUCGCUGAAAGCAAAUUCCCCAAUGGAACAUGGUAGAGUGAAAGAUCCAGGAUCUUCUAACUUCUCUUGAACAAUCCUCUUAUCAGCAGCUCGAGAUGGAGUGGCAUCACUUUCAUCAUCCGAAUCGUGAUACAUCUUGAUCCUUUUCAGUAUUAAAUUUCUCACAUCUUUGUGAGGAUCAGGAAUCAGGUUAAGAACUUCCAUUAGUGGCAUCACAGCUUCAAUCUCGUCCAACUGCUUCGCUGCAACAGAAUUGUAUCUCUCCAUCCAUGCUUUCCUGAAUGUCCACGGAAGAGCACGUGAGGGUAGUGGAGUAGGUUUGAAUCGUUUUACCAUUCUCUCGAUUAUGGCGGCCUUCUCUUCCGAGGUGGAUUGAGUGAGAUGGCGAGAACCAGCGGAAUGGUUGAAUUCAACAACAGAGACUUCAACCUGACUAGAAGCCUCCCCUUCUUGAAUAUCACUGUCCCCAGUGAUGAAAUCAGGGACAGGUCGAGUUGGUAGCUCUCGAUCAUGGCAGAUGGUGAUGGCGUGAGCGGUUGCAUACUCUUUUGGAUUCUGUAUGGACUUCCCUGGAAGUCCUGUAACUUUUGGUGCAGAGGUAGAUGCUGAUUGGCCUUCCAAGUAUCUGACUAUGGUAUUCAAUGCCUCCACUUUGGCAUUCAGGUCAUUGUAGCUGCAGUCCAGCUUAUGGUGCAAUUCAGAUAAUUUCUUAGCAAUUUCCAUUGAGCUAGAUGCUUGUCCCUGUAGCAGCUGUUGGACCAUCUGUUUCAUUUCAGCAUCAAGAGCAGUAGGACCUUGGUUUUGCUGAGGUGCAACCCAGGUGGUGGUGGUUGCUGGUAAUUUCCCUGGAAUUGUUGUUUAGGAACGAAACCUUGGUUGUAGGGAACAAAAGGUUUGUUCUGACUUUGUUGUUGCUGUGGAGGAUACACCUGAUCCUGAGGGUUAGCAACGUUGGUGCUGCGGUAGGAGUGGUUGGGAUUGUUGGUUUUGAACUUGUUGUAUCCUUUAUAGCCACCCUAGUUGUUGUUGAUGUAGCUGACUUCUUCCAACUGGUUACCCUCCCCAUCUUGGACUUGAUACUGCUCGUCAUCAACAAGGAAGUGCAGAUGCUUCUACUAGCUAAGAAGAAUCUUGUCCAGCUUGUCAUUUAGCGCUUUGAUCUCCUUCCUGUGUUUGUCAUCAGAGUCAGCUGUUCCUCUGACGGUCCUAUCAUAGUCUUCGUUGUAAUUGCCAUCUGAUUGAGCAAGGUUCUCAACCAAUUCCCAGCCUUCUUCAACAUCCUUGUUCUGGAAAUUCCCAUUGCUCGCGGUAUCCAAAAGCAUUCUGAUGCGUGGUAGGACUCCUCUGUAAAGAGUGCUGAGCAGAGAGGCUUUAGUAAAGCCAUGAUGAGGGCAUUGGUUGGUGUAACCCUUGAAACGCUCCCAUGCUUCACAGAAGCUUUCACCAGUCUUCUGUGAGAAACCAGAAAUCUCAUUUCUGAGUCUUGCAGUUCUGGCAUUGGAGAAGAACUUUGACAGAAAAGCCUUCUUACAAUCAUCCCAGGUGGUGAUUGAGUCAUGGGGCAGAUUCUUCUCCCAGAUGUGUGCUUUGUCUCCCAAGGAGAAUGGAAACAAACGGAGCUUGAAUCCGUCUUCACUGACACCAUUGAUCUUUGUUAGGUUGCAAAGCCUAUCGAAUUCAUCAAGGUGGUCGAGUGGAUCCUCCAUUGGCAAACCAUGGAAUUUGUUCCCCUGAAUCAUCGAGAUGAGACCACUCUUAAUCUCGAAGUCGUUGUUCUGGAUAGUAGGAGGUGCAAUUCCCUUCCUCUGACGGUGAUCACGUAGUGCAUCUCCAGCACCAAUGUUGGAAGGGCCAUUUUGUUGAUUCUGUUCUUCAGCCAUAACGAGUGGUUGCUGAGGUACAAGGUUGACUGUGGUUCUCCAUAUGAGUCAUUAUCUUUGUAUCUUCUAACAAGGACACACUACUUAGGCUUUUAUGAUAAGGUUGCGGUUUAAGUUCUUAUACUCAAUCAUACUCAUCACAUCAAGUCAUAUUCGACUCCAAAACACUAACCAAGCUUCUUCUUGCUUCUCCAAGCUUUGAUGGUUUAGCCGAAGUCCAUAUGAGUCUUUGUGUUUGUAUCUUCUAACAAGGAAACACUACUUAGGCUUUUAGGAUAAGAUUGCGGUUUAAGUUCUUAUACUCAAUCAUACACAUGACAUCAAGUCAUAUUCGAAUCCAAAACUCUAAGCAAGCUUCUUCUUGCUUCUCAAAGCUUUGAUGGUCUAGCCGAAGUCCAUAUGAGUCUUUGUCUUUGUAUCUUCUAACAAGAAAACACUACUUAGGCUUUUAGGAUAAGGUUGCAGUUUAAGUU
RNAcentral lists this small RNA (2439 nucleotides) under Arabidopsis thaliana (thale cress). Its description in RNAcentral is "ATSL204110". The stretch from base 1464 to 1570 matches the Rfam family "Plant small nucleolar RNA R71". The record is from RNAcentral. Lineage: Eukaryota; Viridiplantae; Streptophyta; Magnoliopsida; Brassicales; Brassicaceae.